UUUAGCAGCGAUAGCUCAUUAGGUAGAGCGUGAAACUCUUAAUCUCAGGGUUUAUGGGUUUGAGCCCCACACUGGGCAAAA
Molecule: non-coding RNA, 81 nt
Organism: Podarcis lilfordi (Lilford's wall lizard)
Lineage: Eukaryota; Metazoa; Chordata; Lepidosauria; Squamata; Lacertidae
Source: the annotation of a GenBank genome assembly